RNAcentral lists this unclassified non-coding RNA (150 nucleotides) under uncultured Stagonospora. RNAcentral's name for it is "sequence contains ITS2". Lineage: Eukaryota; Fungi; Ascomycota; Dothideomycetes; Pleosporales; Pleosporaceae. The record is from RNAcentral.
GUACCUUCAAGCUUUGCUUGGUGUUGGGCGUUUGUCUUUGUUAUAAAGACUCGCCUUAAAGUUAUUGGCAGCCAGUGUUUUUGGUAGUAAGCGCAGCACAUUUUGCGUCUUGGUCCCUAAACAGCGCCAUCCAUGAAGCCAUUUUCUCAC